RNAcentral lists this ribosomal RNA (1186 nucleotides) under Salmonella enterica subsp. enterica serovar Typhimurium. RNAcentral describes it as "bacterial LSU rRNA". It matches the Rfam family "Bacterial large subunit ribosomal RNA", at positions 976 to 2144 of the family's 2925-position model. Lineage: Bacteria; Pseudomonadati; Pseudomonadota; Gammaproteobacteria; Enterobacterales; Enterobacteriaceae. The record is from RNAcentral.
CACGGGAGACACACGGCGGGUGCUAACGUCCGUCGUGAAGAGGGAAACAACCCAGACCGCCAGCUAAGGUCCCAAAGUCAUGGUUAAGUGGGAAACGAUGUGGGAAGGCCCAGACAGCCAGGAUGUUGGCUUAGAAGCAGCCAUCAUUUAAAGAAAGCGUAAUAGCUCACUGGUCGAGUCGGCCUGCGCGGAAGAUGUAACGGGGCUAAACCAUGCACCGAAGCUGCGGCAGCGACGCUGAUGCGUUGUUGGGUAGGGGAGCGUUCUGUAAGCCUGCGAAGGUGACCUGUGAGGGUUGCUGGAGGUAUCAGAAGUGCGAAUGCUGACAUAAGUAACGAUAAAGCGGGUGAAAAGCCCGCUCGCCGGAAGACCAAGGGUUCCUGUCCAACGUUAAUCGGGGCAGGGUGAGUCGACCCCUAAGGCGAGGCCGAAAGGCGUAGUCGAUGGGAAACGGGUUAAUAUUCCCGUACUUGGUGUUACUGCGAAGGGGGGACGGAGAAGGCUAUGUUGGCCGGGCGACGGUUGUCCCGGUUUAAGCGUGUAGGUGUGUGUUCCAGGUAAAUCCGGUUCACUUUAACACUGAGGCGUGACGACGAGGCACUACGGUGCUGAAGCAACAAAUGCCCUGCUUCCAGGAAAAGCCUCUAAGCAUCAGGUAACAUCAAAUCGUACCCCAAACCGACACAGGUGGUCAGGUAGAGAAUACCAAGGCGCUUGAGAGAACUCGGGUGAAGGAACUAGGCAAAAUGGUGCCGUAACUUCGGGAGAAGGCACGCUGACACGUAGGUGAAGUGAUUUACUCAUGGAGCUGAAGUCAGUCGAAGAUACCAGCUGGCUGCAACUGUUUAUUAAAAACACAGCACUGUGCAAACACGAAAGUGGACGUAUACGGUGUGACGCCUGCCCGGUGCCGGAAGGUUAAUUGAUGGGGUCAGCGUAAGCGAAGCUCCUGAUCGAAGCCCCGGUAAACGGCGGCCGUAACUAUAACGGUCCUAAGGUAGCGAAAUUCCUUGUCGGGUAAGUUCCGACCUGCACGAAUGGCGUAAUGAUGGCCAGGCUGUCUCCACCCGAGACUCAGUGAAAUUGAACUCGCUGUGAAGAUGCAGUGUACCCGCGGCAAGACGGAAAGACCCCGUGAACCUUUACUAUAGCUUGACACUGAACAUUGAGCCUUGAUGUGUAGGAU